UACGUAGGGGGCAAGCGUUAUCCGGAUUUACUGGGUGUAAAGGGAGCGCAGACGGCAGUGCAAGUCUGGAGUGAAAGCCCGGGGCCCAACCCCGGAACUGCUCUGGAAACUGUGCGGCUAGAGUACUGGAGGGGCAGGCGGAAUUCCUAGUGUAGCGGUGAAAUGCGUAGAUAUUAGGAGGAACACCAGUGGCGAAGGCGGCCUGCUGGACAGUAACUGACGUUGAGGCUCGAAAGCGUGGGUAGCAAACAGG
This 253-nucleotide ribosomal RNA is filed under the name uncultured bacterium. Its description in RNAcentral is "partial 16S ribosomal RNA". It matches the Rfam family "Bacterial small subunit ribosomal RNA", at positions 524 to 776 of the family's 1533-position model. The record is from RNAcentral.